Molecule: ribosomal RNA, 487 nt
Filed under: uncultured bacterium
Lineage: Bacteria
Description: bacterial SSU rRNA
Rfam family: Bacterial small subunit ribosomal RNA
Source: RNAcentral
CUACGUGCCAGCAGCCGCGGUAAUACGGAGGGUGCGAGCGUUAAUCGGAAUAACUGGGCGUAAAGGGCACGCAGGCGGUGACUUAAGUGAGGUGUGAAAGCCCCGGGCUUAACCUGGGAAUUGCAUUUCAUACUGGGUCGCUAGAGUACUUUAGGGAGGGGUAGAAUUCCACGUGUAGCGGUGAAAUGCGUAGAGAUGUGGAGGAAUACCGAUGGCGAAGGCAGCCCCCUGGGAUAAUACUGACGUUCAUGCUCGAAAGCGUGGGUAGCAAACAGGAUUAGAUACCCUGGUAGUCCACGCCCUAAACGAUGUCGAUUAGCUGUUGGGCAGCUUGACUGCUUAGUAGCGUAGCUAACGCGUGAAAUCGACCGCCUGGGGAGUACGGUCGCAAGAUUAAAACUCAAAGGAAUUGACGGGGACCCGCACAAGCGGUGGAUGAUGUGGAUUAAUUCGAUGCAACGCGAAGAACCUUACCUGGUCUUGACAU